ACGUGGGUAAUCUGCCCUGCACUUCGGGAUAAGCCUGGGAAACUGGGUCUAAUACCGGAUAUGACCACGGAACGCAUGUUUUGUGGUGGAAAGCUUUUGCGGUGUGGGAUGGGCCCGCGGCCUAUCAGCUUGUUGGUGGGGUGACGGCCUACCAAGGCGACGACGGGUAGCCGGCCUGAGAGGGUGUCCGGCCACACUGGGACUGAGAUACGGCCCAGACUCCUACGGGAGGCAGCAGUGGGGAAUAUUGCACAAUGGGCGCAAGCCUGAUGCAGCGACGCCGCGUGGGGGAUGACGGCCUUCGGGUUGUAAACCUCUUUCAGCAGGGACGAAGCGCAAGUGACGGUACCUGCAGAAGAAGCACCGGCCAACUACGUGCCAGCAGCCGCGGUAAUACGUAGGGUGCGAGCG
Molecule: ribosomal RNA, 411 nt
Filed under: Mycobacterium genavense
Lineage: Bacteria; Bacillati; Actinomycetota; Actinomycetes; Mycobacteriales; Mycobacteriaceae
Description: bacterial SSU rRNA
Rfam family: Bacterial small subunit ribosomal RNA
Source: RNAcentral